GGAUGUGAGGGCGAUCUGGCUGCAACAUCUGUCACCCCAUUGAUCGCCAGGGUUGAUUCGGCUGAUCUGGCUGGCUUGGCAGGUGUCCCCUUCCUCCCUCACCGCUCCAUGUGCGUCCCUCCCGAAGCUGCGAGCUCGGUCGAAGAGGACGACCUUCCCCGAUAGAGGAGGACCGUUCUUCGGUCAAGGGUAUACCGAGUAGCUGUGCUCCCCUGCUAGAACCUCCAAACAAGCUCUAAAAUGGAAAAAGGGUUAAAUACCAACUUAACUGAACUUCAUUGCUCUGUAAU
RNAcentral lists this small nuclear RNA (290 nucleotides) under Ailuropoda melanoleuca (giant panda). RNAcentral's name for it is "7SK RNA". It matches the Rfam family "7SK RNA". From Rfam's summary of the family: 7SK was discovered as an abundant small nuclear RNA in the mid-70s but a possible function has only recently been suggested. Two independent studies have found that 7SK RNA binds the CDK9/cyclin T complex (known as elongation factor P-TEFb). P-TEFb activates transcription by phosphorylating the C-terminal domain of RNA polymerase II. The record is from Rfam by way of RNAcentral. Lineage: Eukaryota; Metazoa; Chordata; Mammalia; Carnivora; Ursidae.